ACCCCUAACGCAUGCAUUCUGUCUUGUUUUUAUUUCUUUCACUUUUAUUUAAUUUAUUUUUCACCUUAUUUAUUUCCAAAUUCAUUUUAUUUUUUAUCUCACUUAUUUUUAUUAUUCUGAAAAUAUUUCCAACAGGGAUCCUUGUUAUUUUUAUCUCUUCUAUUUAUUUAUGCUUUGUUUCAUGUAAUUUGAACAAUGUUUCAUGGACUUAUGAGGUCUUGAACCUAGUGCCUUGUCCAUAUUAUACACUAACCCUUACUAUUUUGAUCAUAUUGUACAUUGAUCUUUAUAACUUGCCUAACUUAAU
Molecule: long non-coding RNA, 307 nt
Filed under: Lathyrus oleraceus (garden pea)
Lineage: Eukaryota; Viridiplantae; Streptophyta; Magnoliopsida; Fabales; Fabaceae
Description: Pisum sativum (pea) long non-coding RNA (PSAT_LNC032357)
Source: RNAcentral